UCCUUGUCGGGUAAGUUCCGACCUGCACGAAUGGCAUAAUGAUGGCAGCGCUGUCUCCAGCAGAGACUCAGUGAAAUCGAAAUCGCAGUGAAGAUGCUGUGUACCCGCGGCUAGACGGAAAGACCCCGUGAACCUUUACUACAGCUUUACAUUGAACUUUGACCUAACUUGUGUAGGAUAGGUGGGAGGCUUUGAAGCAGAUACGCCAGUAUUUGUGGAGCCAACCUUGAAAUACCACCCUGGUUAUGUUGGGGUUCUAACUUAGGAUCAACAAAUCCAAGGACAAUGUAUGGUGGGUAGUUUGACUGGGGCGGUCUCCUCCUAAAGAGUAACGGAGGAGUACGAAGGUGCGCUCAGAACGGUCGGAAAUCGUUCAAAGAGUAUAAAGGCAAAAGCGCGCUUAACUGCGAGACCCACAAGUCGAGCAGGUACGAAAGUAGGUCUUAGUGAUCCGGUGGUUCUGUAUGGAAGGGCCAUCGCUCAACGGAUAAAAGGUACUCUGGGGAUAACAGGCUGAUACCGCCCAAGAGUUCAUAUCGACGGCGGUGUUUGGCACCUCGAUGUCGGCUCAUCUCAUCCUGGGGCUGAAGCAGGUCCCAAGGGUAUGGCUGUUCGCCAUUUAAAGAGGUACGCGAGCUGGGUUUAGAACGUCGUGAGACAGUUCGGUCCCUAUCUACCGUGGGCGUUGGAAAUUUGAGAGGAUCUGCUCCUAGUACGAGAGGACCAGAGUGGACGAACCUCUGGUGUUUCGGUUGUCACGCCAGUGGCAUUGCCGAGUAGCUAUGUUCGGAUGGGAUAACCGCUGAAAGCAUCUAAGCGGGAAGCCCACCUUAAGAUAAGAUUUCCCUAAAGAGCCGUUGUAGACGACGACGUUGAUAGGUUGGGUGUGGAAGUGUAGUGAUACAUGUAGCUAACCAAUACUAAUUGCUCGUUUGGCUUGACCAUACAACACCCAAGUGGUUUACCACUGACUGUGUUGAUUGGUAAUAUGUAAGAUGAACCUUAAUCUUGAUUUGGUAAUAAACAGACUCAUACAGCGUUGUUAAUCCUUUUACGCUGACGACAAUAGCAAGAUGGAACCACCUGAUCCCUUCCCGAACUCAGAAGUGAAACGUCUUAGCGCCGAUGGUAGUGUGGUUCGCCCAUGUGAGAGUAGGUCAUCGUCAGCACCUUAUUUUAAACCCCUCUUUGCAGAAGCAAAGGGGGGUUUUGUUUGGGGGUUGAUUAAGUCCAGUUUAGCGCUUUUAAAAUUUUUUUCAAUGCCAUCUUGAUCAUGGCGUGGGCAAAUAAUAUGAGCAUGUUGUUUUAACAUGGGAUGUGCGUUACCCAUAGCGAUGGCUGUUCCCACCAACUUAAACAUUUCCAUAUCAUUUAAGUCAUCUCCAAAAG
This 1389-nucleotide ribosomal RNA is filed under the name Moraxella catarrhalis. Lineage: Bacteria; Pseudomonadati; Pseudomonadota; Gammaproteobacteria; Moraxellales; Moraxellaceae. The record is from RNAcentral.